GAGCCAUAGGAUGACCCACGUUGCGCAGCUCCACGAAUGGCUGUGUUUCUGCAAUCAAAACAAGGAACAGAACGGAGACAGGAGAGGGUGAUGCAUGAGCCAAGAUGAGCAACCAAGGGUAGGUGGACCUCUUACACCACAAUGAUCACACAAGACUUUGUAUAAAGCAGUGGUGGCUUUGCUUAUGUCAUUAUUGGUCUUCAAAAGGAGUUAAUUUUUUCUGGGAAUUUCAUAUGUCUA
RNAcentral lists this long non-coding RNA (240 nucleotides) under Gallus gallus (chicken). The record is from RNAcentral. Lineage: Eukaryota; Metazoa; Chordata; Aves; Galliformes; Phasianidae.